Non-coding RNA from Pogona vitticeps (central bearded dragon), 1154 nucleotides. NCBI's taxonomy places the organism in Eukaryota, Metazoa, Chordata, Lepidosauria, Squamata, Agamidae. The record is from RefSeq and is a predicted model, not a curated record.
CCCCCUGAAAAUAAGCUCUAAUGCAUUUUUGGAGUAAAAAUUAAUAUAAGACCCUGUCUUAUUUUCAGAGAAACACUAUCUACCCAGAACUUGCUGGAUUAUUUGAAUGUAAUUUGCUGAGACAUCUCCUCUUAGCUAGUGUACAAGAGCACAGAACAUUUAAUACCAUGCUCUGUAGAAUGGCAUGUGAGUGAUUAUUGAAAAUACUGCAGGUAUUUUCAAUAAUCACUCACCUUAGUUCACAGUGUAGCCUUUUGUGUUUCCAGGUCCCCUCGGUAUUCUGUAGGCUUAUGGAGACUCCAGCAUCAACUCCUUGGUUCUGCCAUUUCUAAAAUCAAGGCACUUCUAGCCCUUUAUAUCUGAUCCCGUUUGCUGGUAGAAGAUUAAAUAAAUUCACAAUAAUAUAAUAUGAACUAACCCCAAAAGAUUGAGAUUCAUAUGGAAGGCUCCAUUGACAGAAUUUAAGCAUAGCAUGAAUAUUAAGCCAGAAUUGUAACAUGGCUUUAUUUGGCAGGUGGAAGGGACUCUUCUGGAUCCUGGAAGGGAGUUAACCUCAAGGCUGGAGUUGAGGACAGACUUUCUCUUUGGGUACCCCUCUGGAGCUUCAGUCUUUUUUUUGGUAGAAUAAAGACACUGGUGACGGUGAAUUUCAAGUCAUGGACAUGGGAUUGCGGAGGUCAGAUAGGUAUGUUUGUCUUUGUUUUACCAAGGGAGCAUUCCGUUCCAUAGUUGGAUGUCUCAGUAGUGAAAUAUUGUGCUUCCUUUCUUUGUUUUUCAGAAGGAGCCAAUGAGAGAUCCUGAGGAGCUACUGCUACCACAGAGCUUCUUAAGCAUUAGCCUUAGCCAGGGCUAAUUUUCAGGGGGGAGGCAGGUUAUAUUAUUGCUAAAAAAGAUGGUGAAAUGUUGGGAAUAGACACUUUUGACUUUGUCAAAUCAUAAUUCUCCUUGCCCCAUCCCACUUCCAGAGGCAAACAGAAGUAUGGAAUGACUUGAUUUUUCAGUAACAGUGCUGGUAUUGUAUUGUUGGAAGCCAAACUACACAGGUUUCUUCACUGAGCCGUUUACAGGCCAGUGGCAGCAACACAUACAUAACAUCAAGCUUUAAAAUGUUUUGCAAGAAUUUUUAUUUUUAAAUAAAUUCCUUCUGAAAUUCA